GACGAACGCUGGCGGCGUGCUUAACACAUGCAAGUCACGGGGGCUCGCAAGAGCAACCGGCGAACGGGUGCGUAACACGUGAGCAACCUGCCGAUCUGAGGGGGAUAGCCGGCCCAACGGCCGGGUAAUACCGCAUACGUUCUCGAGGGGGAGUCCUCUUGAGAAGAAACCUCCGGGGCAGAUCGAGGGGCUCGCGGCCUAUCAGCUAGUUGGUGAGGUAACGGCUCACCAAGGCAUCGACGGGUAGCUGGUCUGAGAGGAUGGCCAGCCACAUUGGGACUGAGAGACGGCCCAGACUCCUACGGGAGGCAGCAGUGGGGAAUAUUGGACAAUGGGCGAAAGCCUGAUCCAGCCAUGCCGCGUGAGUGAUGAAGGCCUUAGGGUUGUAAAGCUCUUUACCCGGGAAGAUAAUGACUGUACCGGGAGAAUAAGCCCCGGCUAACUUCGUGCCAGCCGCCGCGGU
Molecule: ribosomal RNA, 463 nt
Filed under: uncultured bacterium
Lineage: Bacteria
Description: bacterial SSU rRNA
Rfam family: Bacterial small subunit ribosomal RNA
Source: RNAcentral